RNAcentral lists this ribosomal RNA (741 nucleotides) under uncultured bacterium. RNAcentral describes it as "partial 16S ribosomal RNA". It matches the Rfam family "Bacterial small subunit ribosomal RNA", at positions 677 to 1406 of the family's 1533-position model. The record is from RNAcentral.
AGCGGUGAAAUGCUUAGAUAUCACGAAGAACUCCGAUUGCGAAGGCAGCCCGCCAGCCCGCUACUGACGUUGAGGCUCGAAGGUGCGGGUAUCGAACAGGAUUAGAUACCCUGGUAGUCCGCACGGUAAACGAUGGACACCCGCCGUGGGCGACAUACAGUCCGCGGCCAAGCGAAAGCGUUAAGUGUCCCGCCUGGGGAGUACGCCGGCAACGGUGAAACUCAAAGGAAUUGACGGGGGCCCGCACAAGCGGAGGAACAUGUGGUUUAAUUCGAUGAUACGCGAGGAACCUUACCCGGGCUUGAAAGUUAUUGACGGAUCUGGAAACAGAUCUUCCCUUCGGGGCAAGAAACUAGGUGCUGCAUGGUUGUCGUCAGCUCGUGCCGUGAGGUGUCGGGUUAAGUCCCAUAACGAGCGCAACCCUUGCUGUUAGUUGCCAUCAGAGAGGUUUGAGCAAUCAAAUGAGCUGGGCACUCUAACGGGACUGCCGGUGCAAGCCGGAGGAAGGUGAGGAUGACGUCAAAUCAGCACGGCCCUUACGUCCGGGGCUACACACGUGUUACAAUGGGCGGUACAGAAGGCAGCUACCUGGCGACAGGAUGCCAAUCCCUAAAGCCGCUCUCAGUUCGGACUGGAGUCUGCAACCCGACUCCACGAAGCUGGAUUCGCUAGUAAUCGCGCAUCAGCCACGGCGCGGUGAAUACGUUCCCGGGCCUUGUACACACCGCCCGUCAAGCCAUG